This 602-nucleotide ribosomal RNA is filed under the name uncultured low G+C Gram-positive bacterium. RNAcentral's name for it is "bacterial SSU rRNA". It matches the Rfam family "Bacterial small subunit ribosomal RNA", at positions 314 to 873 of the family's 1533-position model. The record is from RNAcentral. Lineage: Bacteria; Bacillati; Bacillota.
UGGGUACUUGAGAACACGGGCCCAGACUCCUACUGUGGUAUGGCAGCAGUAGGGAAUCUUCGAGCAAUGGACGUAAAGUCUGACCGAGCUACGCCGCGUGAGUGUAGAAGGUGUUUCCGGAUCGUAAACUCUGGUUGUUAGAGAAGAACAAGGACUGUUAGUAACUGAACGUCCCCUGACGGUAUCUAACCAGAACCUCGGCUAACUACGUGCCAGCACCGCGGUAAUACGUAGGUGGCAAGCGUUGUCCGGAUUUAUUGGGCGUAAAGCGAGCGCAGGCGGUUUCUUAAGUCUGAUGUGAAAGCCCCCGGCUCAACCGGGGAGGGUCAUUGGAAACUGGGAGACUUGAGUGCAGAAGAGGAGAGUGGAAUUCCAUGUGUAGCGGUGAAAUGCGUAGAUAUAUGGAGGAACUACCAGUGGCGAAGGCGGCUCUCUGGUCUGUAACUGACGCUGAGGCUCGAAAGCGUGGGGAGCAAACAGGAUUAGAUACCCUGGUAGUCCACGCCGUAAACGAUGAGUGCUAAGUGUUGGAGGGUUUCCGCCCUUCAGUGCUGCAGCAAACGCUAUAAGCACUCCGCCAUGGGGAUACUAACCCUCAUGUG